UUAUAUGUGAAGAAGAGGAAAGUAGAUGAUGAUGCGUGUUUCAGAGAGCUGCCCCGUGGCUGUGAGGGCGGUAACAAGCAAAUCAUUGAAAAUCACCUCGGAGCAUCGCUUUCGAAAGGGAAUUUGAGUAGAGAGCGACGGGCUCGUCUCCGAUAAAUGGACGGAGGUCUGAUGGGACCUACUGAGCUUAUAUUUCGUGAGGAAUAUAAGGAAGCUGAGUGGUAACGCGAAACUCUCGCCUCAGCA
This 246-nucleotide non-coding RNA is filed under the name Bacillus cereus. RNAcentral describes it as "T-box sequence". It matches the Rfam family "T-box leader". Rfam says of the family: Uncharged tRNA acts as the effector for transcription antitermination of genes in the T-box leader family. Lineage: Bacteria; Bacillati; Bacillota; Bacilli; Caryophanales; Bacillaceae. The record is from RNAcentral.